This 920-nucleotide ribosomal RNA is filed under the name Sarcophaga australis. RNAcentral describes it as "eukaryotic LSU rRNA". It matches the Rfam family "Eukaryotic large subunit ribosomal RNA", at positions 122 to 863 of the family's 3401-position model. Lineage: Eukaryota; Metazoa; Arthropoda; Insecta; Diptera; Sarcophagidae. The record is from RNAcentral.
CUUUGUCUUUAUGGCAAAUGUGAGAUGCAGUGUAUGGAAUGUCAAAUUUCUAGUAUGAGAAAUUAACGAUUUAAGUCCUUCUUAAAUGAGGCCAUUUACCCAUAGAGGGUGCCAGGCCCGUAUAACGUUAAUGAUUACUAGAUGGCAUUUCCAAAGAGUCGUGUUGCUUGAUAGUGCAGCACUAAGUUGGUGGUAAACUCCAUCUAAAACUAAAUAUAACCAUGAGACCGAUAGUAAACAAGUACCGUGAGGGAAAGUUGAAAAGAACUCUGAAUAGAGAGUUAAAUAGUACGUGAAACUGCUUAGAGGUUAAGCCCGAUGAACCUGAAUAUCCAUUAUAGAAAAUUCAUCAUUAUGAUUUUAAUAUUAAUAAUAUUAUAAUAAUGGUGUGCAUUUUUUCUAUAACGGACAUUGUAAUCUAUUAACAUAAACCAAAUUUAUCAUAAGAUCAAUGAUGCGUAAGUUUAUUCAAAUUAUUUUGCUUGCAAUUUAACAUAGAAUAAAUGCUCUUGAUUUGAUAAAGUGUUGAUAGAUUUAUUAUAUAUAGUGCUUAAAUAUUUAUAUUUUAUAAUAGCAUAUUAAUCAUUGAUUUUUAUGUUUAUUAUAUGCACUUAUAUGAUUAACAAUGCGAAAGAUUCAGGAUACCUUCGGGACCCGUCUUGAAACACGGACCAAGGAGUCUAACAUAUUUGCAAGUUAUUGGGUAUCAAAACCUAAUAGCGAAAUUAACAUAACUUUAAUAAUGGGAUUAGUUUUUAGAUUAUUUAUAGUCUAUUAAUUCAAUCCCGGGGCGUUCUAUAUAGUUAUGUAUAAUAAUAUUUAUAUUAUUUAUACCUCUAACUAGAGCGUACCUUGAGCAUAUAUGCUGUGACCCGAAAGAUGGUGAACUAUACUUGAUCAGGUUGAAGUCAGGGGAAACC